AAGCAAAAGGAUACUGCCACAAGGGGGGAAACUAAGCGACCUUUUUUUUUUUCAGAAGGCAUCCGGUUUUCAUCAGGUUCCAGGAAGGAAAGGCCGGGAGGGUUUUUCCGUUGAUCAAUAUAAACCAAAAGUACCCCCGCUUAAUGGGGCCCCGCAAUCCAUUGAAUCUUAGCUCGAGGGCGAAUCCCAGGCGGGGGAUUUAGCGCGUUAAGCCCGGAAGGCAAGUUUAAAGGAACAGCCCCCAAAUCCCCAUGGAUUCGGCUUGACCUCCGGGCAACUAAUCCUGUAGCUCCCCAAACUUCGCCGUGCCGUCAAUCUUUUCCAAGUGCCCCUUCGGGCCCCUAAUCCUCCCGAUCUCUAAAAAUUUACCUCAACACGGGAAACCUACCCCCACUACAAGACUCUACCCGAUGUUCAAAUGCAAUCCCAUCUUAAGCCAGCUCUUCACAUUAACUUUCCCACCACCACCCCUCCUACCCCCACCAAGCCGAAUAACCCUAAGGCAUCCCUAAAAUCAAGCACUGCACCAACAAGCCCGUGCGCCUUCGCUUUAAAUCUAACAACGCCAAAAUCUUACCACCACCUAUCCUUCUCCAUACAGUACAUAAAAACCCAAGCUCCUCAAACAACCCCGCAUUCCGCAUCAGUCUUCCCCCCUUGUGCAAGUUCCCCAUGCUUCCCCCAAAGAAGUCUAGACCGUUCCUCAGUUCCAAGCACGCUGUUGAUCGUCCUAGACCACACGGGAUCUUAGCCCCGUGAGACAUUCCGAACCAACUAGCUAAAACUACCCUAGCUCACAGGACGACGCACGCCCAAAGUGUCCUGCCAGACUCUGCCCACACUCAAUCAUGAGCGGGCCUUGUACACACCGCCCAUCACUCCAUGGGAGUGGGUUGCACCAGAAGUAGAUAGCUUAACUUCGGGAGGGCGUAUACACACAAAUAGAUAGCAUCUGCCCC
This 959-nucleotide ribosomal RNA is filed under the name Aeromonas hydrophila. RNAcentral's name for it is "partial 16S ribosomal RNA". Lineage: Bacteria; Pseudomonadati; Pseudomonadota; Gammaproteobacteria; Aeromonadales; Aeromonadaceae. The record is from RNAcentral.